RNAcentral lists this ribosomal RNA (238 nucleotides) under Terribacillus saccharophilus. RNAcentral's name for it is "partial 23S ribosomal RNA". It matches the Rfam family "Bacterial large subunit ribosomal RNA", at positions 1209 to 1447 of the family's 2925-position model. Lineage: Bacteria; Bacillati; Bacillota; Bacilli; Caryophanales; Bacillaceae. The record is from RNAcentral.
GACAUCUACGAUGUCAGUGGUAGGAGAGCGUUCUAAGGGCAGUGAAGGUCGAUCGUGAGGACGGCUGGAGCGCUUAGAAGUGAGAAUGCCGGUAUGAGUAGCGAAAAAAGAGUGAGAAUCUCUUUCAUCGAAAGCCCAAGGUUUCCUGAGGAAGGCUCGUCCGCUCAGGGUUAGUCGGGGCCUAAGCCGAGGCCGAAAGGCGUAGGCGAUGGACAACAGGUUGAUAUUCCUGUACCAC